Molecule: ribosomal RNA, 492 nt
Filed under: uncultured bacterium
Lineage: Bacteria
Description: partial 16S ribosomal RNA
Rfam family: Bacterial small subunit ribosomal RNA
Source: RNAcentral
AGUGAACGCUGGCGGUAGGCCUAACACAUGCAAGUCGAACGGCAGCACAGUAAGAGCUUGCUCUUACGGGUGGCGAGUGGCGGACGGGUGAGGAAUAAAUCGGAAUCUACUUUUUCGUGGGGGAUAACGUAGGGAAACUUACGCUAAUACCGCAUACGACCUACGGGUGAAAGCAGGGGAUCUUCGGACCUUGCGCGAUUGAAUGAGCCGAUGUCGGAUUAGCUAGUUGGCGGGGUAAAGGCCCACCAAGGCGACGAUCCGUAGCUGGUCUGAGAGGAUGAUCAGCCACACUGGAACUGAGACACGGUCCAGACUCCUACGGGAGGCAGCAGUGGGGAAUAUUGGACAAUGGGCGCAAGCCUGAUCCAGCCAUACCGCGUGGGUGAAGAAGGCCUUCGGGCUGUAAAGCCCUUUUGUUGGGAAAGAAAAGCAGCAGGUUAAUACCCCGCUGUUCUGACGGUACCCAAAGAAUAAGCACCGGCUAACUUCGUG